This 662-nucleotide ribosomal RNA is filed under the name Streptomyces eurocidicus. Its description in RNAcentral is "bacterial LSU rRNA". It matches the Rfam family "Bacterial large subunit ribosomal RNA", at positions 1346 to 1894 of the family's 2925-position model. The record is from RNAcentral. Lineage: Bacteria; Bacillati; Actinomycetota; Actinomycetes; Kitasatosporales; Streptomycetaceae.
UAAGGGUUCCUGGGUCAAGCUGAUCUGCCCAGGGUAAGUCGGGACCUAAGGCGAGGCCGACAGGCGUAGUCGAUGGACAACCGGUUGAUAUUCCGGUACCCGCUUUGAAACGCCCAAUAUCGAAUCAGGCGAUGCUAAGUCCCGUGAAGCCGUCCUGGAUCCUUCGGGUGAAGGGGAGUGGUGGAGCCGACGAACCAGACUUGUAGUAGGUAAGCGAUGGGGUGACGCAGGAAGGUAGUCCAGCCCGGGCGGUGGUUGUCCCGGGGUAAGGGUGUAGGCCGUGUGGUAGGCAAAUCCGUCACACGUUAAGGCUGAGACCUGAUGCCGAGCCGAUUGUGGUGAAGUGGAUGAUCCUAUGCUGUCGAGAAAAGCCUCUAGCGAGUUUCAUGGCGGCCCGUACCCUAAACCGACUCAGGUGGUCAGGUAGAGAAUACCGAGGCGUUCGGGUGAACUAUGGUUAAGGAACUCGGCAAAAUGCCCCCGUAACUUCGGGAGAAGGGGGGCCAUGUCUGGUGAUGAGUCUUGCACUCUGAGCUGGGUGUGGCCGCAGAGACCAGCGAGAAGCGACUGUUUACUAAAAACACAGGUCCGUGCGAAGCCGUAAGGCGAUGUAUACGGACUGACGCCUGCCCGGUGCUGGAACGUUAAGGGGACCGGUUAGC